ACAAAGACUCACCUUUACCAGGAUGCUCAGCUGUGCAGCUCCACGCUCAUCCAAUGGGCCCAAAUUCUGACUGACCAGAGAACAGAAACUGUGACAGAGAUCCAGGAUUUCAUUCAGGCAAUGGAAAACCUGCAGAGAGAUCCUUGUUCUCCCCACCCUAUCCACCCUUCUCCCCUACAACCUGCAGGCAAACUCCCCAGGAAAAGAUACUGUGUGGCAUAAUCGGAGUCUUGCUGUAGAGGAUUUAGACGCCUGCUCAGUGCCUCCCCUCCAUUUCCCUCUUCCUGUUUAUCUGCCUAAAUGGCACACCACAUCCUCUUCUGCACCCCCACCUGCAGAUAGUACUGAAGAUUAUCCACAAGGAAGGCCAUGUGAUCCCUCAGACGCCACUUGAUUGCAUCAGUUCUGUUGGACUUCAGGUGCUUGCGCUGCAUCUGGAGAGCCCAGCAGUGCUGCAGCUCAGCCUGGACCCGCCGCACACUCAGCAAGUAUUUGAAUACAACGUUGUAUCUGCAGCCAAGACAAAUAUCAACCUCUCAAGAAAAAAGAAAGGCUUCCUUGGAGCCCAAGUCCCACACCAGACAACGGUUGGAACAUGGACACGAGACAUAAAGGA
Non-coding RNA from Chrysemys picta bellii (western painted turtle), 616 nucleotides. The record is from RefSeq and is a predicted model, not a curated record. Lineage: Eukaryota; Metazoa; Chordata; Testudines; Emydidae.